Molecule: unclassified non-coding RNA, 252 nt
Filed under: Prochlorococcus marinus subsp. pastoris str. CCMP1986
Lineage: Bacteria; Bacillati; Cyanobacteriota; Cyanophyceae; Synechococcales; Prochlorococcaceae
Source: RNAcentral
GUAUGCUGUUUUUUUGCAGCUACUUUGUUUUGGACGUAUUUUUGUCCUCUGUAGAUAAGUGUCAUCUAUUUUCUCCGGUUUCGCCCAAGUCCCCGUUCCAUGGCUUAAGUCGAUUUGCGGCUUGCAUUAUUACAAGUUGAACGUUUUGGUAGCGGUUGCUACAAAUUAAUAUUAACACAUUGGUAAUUUUUUGUGAAGGCUUUAAAUGACAUUUAUACUAUUUAAUCGAAGAAAAUUUAUCUAUUAAGUGAU